GGACAACCUGCCCUGAGGACUGGAAUAAUCCCGGGAAACUGGGGGUAAUUCCAGAUAUGUCAGAACUCCUGGAAUGGGUUCUGGCAGAAAGGCUCCGGCGCCUCAGGAUGGGUCUGCGGCCUAUCAGGGUAGUAGUGGGUGUAACGUACCUACUAGCCUACGACGGGUACGGGUUGUGAGAGCAAGAGCCCGGAGAUGGAUUCUGAGACAUGAAUCCAGGCCCUACGGGGUGCAGCAGGCGCGAAAACUUUACAAUGCGGGCAACCGCGAUAAGGGGACCUCGAGUGCUGGGUUACAAACCUGGCUGUUGGGCUGCCUAAAAAGCAGUCUAUAGCAAGGGCCGGGCAAGACCGGUGCCAGCCGCCGCGGUAACACCGGCGGCUCGAGUGGUAACCGCUAUUAUUGGGUCUAAAGGGUCUGUAGCCUGCCGGCUAAGUCUCUUGGGAAAUCUGGCAUCUCAAGUGUCAGGCUGCCAGGGGAUACUGGUCAGCUUGGGACCGGGAGAGGUGAGAGGUACCUCAGGGGUAGGGGUGAAAUCUUGUAAUCCUUGAGGGACCACCAGUGGCGAAGGCGUCUCACCAGAACGGAUCCGACGGCAAGGGACGAAAGCUAGGGGCACGAACCGGAUUAGAUACCCGGGUAGUCCUAGCCGUAAACGAUACUCGCUAGGUGUCGGCCACGGUGCGACCGUGGUCGGUGCCGUAGGGAAGCCGUGAAGCGAGCCACCUGGGAAGUACGGCCGCAAGGCUGAAACU
RNAcentral lists this ribosomal RNA (755 nucleotides) under Methanosaeta sp. enrichment culture. Its description in RNAcentral is "bacterial SSU rRNA". It matches the Rfam family "Archaeal small subunit ribosomal RNA", at positions 102 to 856 of the family's 1478-position model. Lineage: Archaea; Methanobacteriati; Methanobacteriota; Methanomicrobia; Methanotrichales; Methanotrichaceae. The record is from RNAcentral.